Molecule: ribosomal RNA, 400 nt
Filed under: uncultured bacterium
Lineage: Bacteria
Description: bacterial SSU rRNA
Rfam family: Bacterial small subunit ribosomal RNA
Source: RNAcentral
GAUGAACGCUAGCGAUAGGCCUAACACAUGCAAGUCGAGGGGCAUCACAUGAAGUAGCAAUACGGAUGGUGGCGACCGGCGCACGGGUGAGUAACACGUAUGCAAUCUGCCUUCAACAAGGGGAUAACCCGUUGAAAGACGGACUAAUACCCUAUAACACAGGGGUCCCGCAUGGGAAUAUUUGUUAAAGGACAACCGGUUGAAGAUGGGCAUGCGUUCCAUUAGCUAGUUGGCGGGUAACGGCCCACCAAGGCAACGAUGGAUAGGGGAACUGAGAGGUUUAUCCCCCACACUGGUACUGAGACACGGACCAGACUCCUACGGGAGGGCAGCAGUGAGGAAUAUUGGUCAAUGGACGCAAGUCUGAACCAGCCACGUCGCGUGAAGGAAGACGGCCCUA